GCAGGCGCGCAGAGGUGUGCGCCCCGGACGAGGGAGCCGUACCCGGCCACGCGACAAGACGGCCAGA
RNAcentral lists this non-coding RNA (67 nucleotides) under Corynebacterium sp. Lineage: Bacteria; Bacillati; Actinomycetota; Actinomycetes; Mycobacteriales; Corynebacteriaceae. RNAcentral also lists the same sequence under 1 other name. The record is from RNAcentral.